CUCUUCCCAUUCCGAACAGAGAAGUUAAGCCCGCCAGCGCCGAUGGUACUGCGUUAGUGGGAGAGUAGGUCGCUGCCAAUU
Molecule: ribosomal RNA, 81 nt
Filed under: Draconibacterium sp.
Lineage: Bacteria; Pseudomonadati; Bacteroidota; Bacteroidia; Marinilabiliales; Prolixibacteraceae
Source: RNAcentral